This 331-nucleotide ribosomal RNA is filed under the name uncultured eukaryote. Its description in RNAcentral is "partial 18S ribosomal RNA". It matches the Rfam family "Eukaryotic small subunit ribosomal RNA", at positions 1470 to 1796 of the family's 1831-position model. The record is from RNAcentral.
CCCUUAGAUGUUCUGGGCCGCACGCGCGCUACACUGUUCGACGCAGCGAGUCUUAACCUUGACCGAAAGGUUUGGGUAAUCUUCAGCAAAGUCGAACGUGAUGGGGAUCGAUCAUUGCAAUUAUUGAUCGUGAACGAGGAAUUCCUAGUAAGUGCAAGUCAUCAGCUUGCGCUGAUUACGUCCCUGCCCUUUGUACACACCGCCCGUCGCUACUACCGAUUGAAUGGUUUAGUGAGAUCUCUGGAUUGACGCUGGCUAGGGGGCGACCCUUGGCCAGACUGUUGAGAAACUGCUCAAACUUGAUCAUUUAGAGGAAGUAAGAGUCGUAACA